This 687-nucleotide ribosomal RNA is filed under the name uncultured cyanobacterium. Its description in RNAcentral is "bacterial SSU rRNA". It matches the Rfam family "Bacterial small subunit ribosomal RNA", at positions 123 to 841 of the family's 1533-position model. Lineage: Bacteria; Bacillati; Cyanobacteriota. The record is from RNAcentral.
AAUCUGCCUUCAGGUUCGGGACAACCACUGGAAACGGUGGCUAAUACCGAAUGUGCAGUAAUGUGAAAUAUUUAUAGCCUGGAGAUGAGCUCGCGUCUGAUUAGCUAGUAGGUGUGGUAAUAGCGCACCUAGGCGACGAUCAGUAGCUGGUCUGAGAGGAUGAUCAGCCACACUGGGACUGAGACACGGCCCAGACUCCUACGGGAGGCAGCAGUGGGGAAUUUUCCGCAAUGGGCGAAAGCCUGACGGAGCAAUACCGCGUGAGGGAGGAAGGCUCUUGGGUUGUAAACCUCUUUUCUCAGGGAAGAAGACAAUGACGGUACCUGAGGAAUAAGCAUCGGCUAACUCCGUGCCAGCAGCCGCGGUAAUACGGAGGAUGCAAGCGUUAUCCGGAAUGAUUGGGCGUAAAGCGUCCGCAGGUGGCUAUGUAAGUCUGCUGUUAAAGAGUCUGGCUCAACCAGAUAAAGGCAGUGGAAACUACAUGGCUAGAGUGCGUUCGGGGCAGAGGGAAUUCCUGGUGUAGCGGUGAAAUGCGUAGAGAUCAGGAAGAACACCGGUGGCGAAAGCGCUCUGCUAGGCCGCAACUGACACUGAGGGACGAAAGCUAGGGGAGCGAAUGGGAUUAGAUACCCCAGUAGUCCUAGCCGUAAACGAUGGAUACUAGGCGUGGCUUGUAUCGACCCGAGC